Non-coding RNA from Petromyzon marinus (sea lamprey), 623 nucleotides. Lineage: Eukaryota; Metazoa; Chordata; Hyperoartia; Petromyzontiformes; Petromyzontidae. The record is from RefSeq and is a predicted model, not a curated record.
UUUGGAUGCACGAUGGACGGACACAAUAAUCCCCUGUGGGCUGGUGUAACCAGGAGGUUCCUAUCAGUAUAACAAUUCAAAUGGCCAAACCCUGCGGAUAUAUCCGCAUCUGUGUACAUUCCCGUAUGUUUGACAUUUUAAAUUGGGCCUAUCCGCACAUUCUUCCUGCCAACCUUCAUAAAGGUUAAUACUUGAUUAUUGAAAAAAUAUAUAUUUUUACAUGGUGCAGCACCCGCCCAAUCAUAUAUAUAUAUGUGGGCACACACAUACACCGUGUGACUGUCCACUGACUUCGUUUGAAAAUCGAUAAUCACGCAUGGUCAGAGAUUUUCAGCUCUUUUCUCAACAAUUUUCAAAGUCGGUGGAGCAGCAUGGACAUUACCCUGAUUCAUGUUCUGGCGGCUGUCAUCUGGCUCGCUAUGAGCGUCGAAGGACGGCUUAGCUGCACCAUUGGAAGUCUUGAUUUGGGGAUUCCUGAAUCAACAUUUACCACGUGUGCAGCAGGGCAAGACUCGUGCGUGACGAUGGAAUUGACUCAGAGUAAGUGCUUCCAGGUCAAGGCUGCUGUAUAUUUGGUGGAUGCAUCUAUCUCUCUCUAACCUGGGUAUGUUAUCUCCCUCGAC